This 21-nucleotide non-coding RNA is filed under the name Rattus norvegicus (Norway rat). Lineage: Eukaryota; Metazoa; Chordata; Mammalia; Rodentia; Muridae. The record is from RNAcentral.
CAUUGGUGGAGAAGGGAACAU